Molecule: transfer RNA, 72 nt
Filed under: Blautia producta
Lineage: Bacteria; Bacillati; Bacillota; Clostridia; Lachnospirales; Lachnospiraceae
Description: tRNA-Gln
Rfam family: tRNA
About the family: Transfer RNA (tRNA) molecules are approximately 80 nucleotides in length. Their secondary structure includes four short double-helical elements and three loops (D, anti-codon, and T loops). Further hydrogen bonds mediate the characteristic L-shaped molecular structure. tRNAs have two regions of fundamental functional importance: the anti-codon, which is responsible for specific mRNA codon recognition, and the 3' end, to which the tRNAs corresponding amino acid is attached (by aminoacyl-tRNA synthetases). tRNAs cope with the degeneracy of the genetic code in two manners: having more than one tRNA (with a specific anti-codon) for a particular amino acid; and 'wobble' base-pairing, i.e. permitting non-standard base-pairing at the 3rd anti-codon position.
Source: RNAcentral
UGGGCCAUCGCCAAACGGUAAGGCACAGCACUUUGACUGCUGUAUGCGCUGGUUCAAAUCCAGCUAGCCCAG